AUACGUAGGGGGCAAGCGUUGUCCGGAAUUAUUGGGCGUAAAGAGCGCGUAGGCGGCUUUCCAAGUCCGGUGUGAAAUCUCAGGGCUUAACCCUGAGCCUGCAUUGGAAACUGGUUUGCUAGAGUUCGGUAGAGGAGAUUGGAAUUCCUGGUGUAGCGGUGAAAUGCGCAGAUAUCAGGAAGAACACCAGUGGCGAAGGCCGAUCUCUGGGCCGUAACUGACGCUGAGGCGCGAAAGCUAGGGGAGCAAACAGGAUUAGAAACCCCAGUAGUCC
RNAcentral lists this ribosomal RNA (274 nucleotides) under uncultured bacterium. Its description in RNAcentral is "partial 16S ribosomal RNA". It matches the Rfam family "Bacterial small subunit ribosomal RNA", at positions 523 to 796 of the family's 1533-position model. The record is from RNAcentral.